AUGAACGCUGGCGGCGUGCCUAAUACAUGCAAGUCGAGCGAACGGACGAGAAGCUUGCUUCUCUGAUGUUAGCGGCGGACGGGUGAGUAACACGUGGAUAACCUACCUAUAAGACUGGGAUAACUUCGGGAAACCGGAGCUAAUACCGGACAAUAUUUUGAACCGCAUGGUUCAAAAGUGAAAGACGGUCUUGCUGUCACUUAUAGAUGGAUCCGCGCUGCAUUAGCUAGUUGGUAAGGUAACGGCUUACCAAGGCAACGAUGCAUAGCCGACCUGAGAGGGGGAUCGGCCACACUGGAACUGAGACACGGUACAGACUCCUACGGGAGGCAGCAGUAGGGAAUCUUCCGAAAUGGGCGAAAGCCUGACGGAGCAACGCCGCGUGAGUGAUGAAGGUCUUCGGAUCGUAAAACUCUGUUAUUAGGGAAGAACAUAUGUGUAAGUAACUGUGCACAUCUUGACGGUACCUAAUCAGAAAGCCACGGCUAACUACGUG
This 496-nucleotide ribosomal RNA is filed under the name uncultured bacterium. RNAcentral's name for it is "partial 16S ribosomal RNA". It matches the Rfam family "Bacterial small subunit ribosomal RNA", at positions 29 to 507 of the family's 1533-position model. The record is from RNAcentral.